UGGCCCUUCACUAAAACAAGGCGCAGCCAUUCGGCCUUUUCUUUUCUUCUUCCUAGGGAGGCAGGGCCUCUUCUUCUCAUUUUUCCUCUUUUGAUUUUUCGUAUAAAAAUCAUGAUCUAUGAAGAUCUAACCGUUCAAUUUCAAAUCCGACUUCGGUAACGUGAUCUACGAAACCCGAUCUACGUUUCUACCGAUCGGUUUGAGGAUUUGUUGUGUGGAGCUUACUAAACACUCUCCAAGUGUUGGAUUUACGUUUGGUGGAAUUUUUGUAAUGCAUUGCAUGGUGGUGUCUAGGAGACCUAGUGCUUAAUAUCCGCGCAGCCAAGAUGUUCCUUUGGCUGCAGGUAUUCCGGUCCUAGUUGAGGGUGUUGUAGAUGUGCACUUGGGAUAUUAUGACCGAAGCUCGCCGCGACAGUCGUAAUUGCAGGACCACAGCUGUCCACUAUUUUAUAGGUUUUGUUUAUGACUUGUGACGCUUGGAUCACUUGUCAUUGUAUAAGCCAUUCCUGUUAUUUAAUUAUUAUGUUGAUAAGAUUUAAACAUAUAGAUGUUAAAUGGCUCUAUAUUGUAAAUAACUUGUAAUAGAUGUAUAAGCUAUGCUUUUCGCUAUUCAA
This is a long non-coding RNA of Alnus glutinosa, 614 nucleotides long. RefSeq lists it as uncharacterized. The record is from RefSeq and is a predicted model, not a curated record. Lineage: Eukaryota; Viridiplantae; Streptophyta; Magnoliopsida; Fagales; Betulaceae. The transcript is spliced from 4 exons.